RNAcentral lists this non-coding RNA (257 nucleotides) under Roseburia inulinivorans. Its description in RNAcentral is "T-box sequence". It matches the Rfam family "T-box leader". Rfam says of the family: Uncharged tRNA acts as the effector for transcription antitermination of genes in the T-box leader family. T-boxes are found upstream of many aminoacyl-tRNA synthetase genes and some amino acid biosynthetic genes usually in Gram-positive bacteria. The record is from RNAcentral. Lineage: Bacteria; Bacillati; Bacillota; Clostridia; Lachnospirales; Lachnospiraceae.
CAAAAUGCAACGAACAGAACAAGGUUAUCUGAGAAACCUGUAUCACAGAGAGCUGCCGGCUGGUGUAAGGCAGUAUACAGCUUCAGGAACUAUCCUCUGCGAGCAGUGCACUGAAUUUUCAUAGUAAGUGUCACCGGUAUUCUACCGUUAUUUAGAAGCUUAUUGUUGUAGGCAUCUGCCCACAAAGAUAAGACAGAGAGGUCGUAUUUUACGGCAAACAAAGUGGUAACGCGGAAGCUUAAGCCUUCGUCUUUGAG